Long non-coding RNA from Zonotrichia leucophrys gambelii, 843 nucleotides. RefSeq lists it as uncharacterized. Lineage: Eukaryota; Metazoa; Chordata; Aves; Passeriformes; Passerellidae. The transcript has 3 exons. The record is from RefSeq and is a predicted model, not a curated record.
UCCCUAUUGUUUUUUACCCUGCAGAGGUGAGAGCACAGCCCCAUUCAACAGUUUGGACUGGAUUAAUUUUUAAAGAGUGCUUGGAGGCUACUUGAGGACAAGCAAACACUGCAUGUGGCUGUUGCAUGAGUGAGCAGUCAAAGGGGAAAGCACAACCACAACCUGGCCUCUCAGGGACUCUGCACUGCUUCUGAGGAUAAGGCAGCAGGGUCAGGCUGCAGCAGAAGCUCAGAAAUGUCUUGGAGGAAACCUUGGCCCAUCCCCAGGCACCUCUCUCAAUGCUACACUCUUGCUCCAGUCUCCUGCCUCUUUGCUCGAUGGUUUCCAAGGAAAGCUGCAAAGAUCUGGAAACCUCCUUUGCCAAGGGAAGCAUUUUCCUACGUAUCAUAAGAUGGCUGAAACAGAACCAGUAGAAAGAGACGCCGAUGAUCUGAGCCAUGCAGCAGGAAGGAUACAAAGCGAUUUAUUGCUGUGGACCAUUGAAUCACAGAAUACUUGGGGUUGGAAGAGACCUUUAAAGUUCUCCUAGUCCACCCCCCAAACAAUGAGCAUCUUCAGCUGGAGAGCAGGGUGCUCCAAGCCCAGCCUGCCCCUGGACACUUCCAGUGAUGGGGCAUCCUCAACUUCUCUGGGCGACCUGUGCCUCACCACUCUCUUGCAUCUGUAUCUAAUGGUGUGGGUCCCCUCAUGCAGCUGUCUUGAAGCAACCCCACUCUCCAUUCUGCAGGUGAGUAUUUCCCAAAAUCUGCCUCCUGGAGCCCUCACUGGCAGGCAGAUUGUGGCUGCAGAGGGUGGCAGGCUCUCUGAAAAUGUGACCAGAGCAUGCCCUCUGCUAUAUCUGAA